Molecule: ribosomal RNA, 372 nt
Filed under: uncultured organism
Description: bacterial SSU rRNA
Rfam family: Bacterial small subunit ribosomal RNA
Source: RNAcentral
CGUAGGAGGCGAGCGUUAUCCGGAUUCACUGGGCGUAAAGCGCGUGCAGGCGGUUUGGUAAGUUGGGCGUGAAAGCUCCCGGCUCAACUGGGAGAGGUCGUUCAAUACUACCAAACUAGAGAAUAGAAGAGGAAGAUGGGAUUCCCGGUGUAGUGGUGAAAUGCGUAGAUAUCGGGAGGAACACCAGUGGCGAAGGCGGUCUUCUGGUCUAUUUCUGACGCUCAGACGCGACAGCUAGGGUAGUAAACGGGAUUAGAGACCCCGGUAAUCCUAGCCGUAAACGAUGUGAACUUGGCGUCGGUGGCUUAAACACCAUCGGUGCCGAAGCAAACGCGAUAAGUUCACCGCCUGGGGACUACGGCCGCAAGGUUA